RNAcentral lists this long non-coding RNA (461 nucleotides) under Nicotiana benthamiana. RNAcentral describes it as "long non-coding RNA (NBEN_LNC018941)". Lineage: Eukaryota; Viridiplantae; Streptophyta; Magnoliopsida; Solanales; Solanaceae. The record is from RNAcentral.
CCUAACUGUCCCAACUUCAAAUCUGUUAGACAUCACUAUAGGAGAUAAGGGAGGGAAAUUAAUGAUGUUAAAGACUGGGGAGUCUUGUAUAGCAACCUGCUUCUGUUUGUUCCCAAUUUCAGCUGCAGCACUUUAUCUCCUUUGGCAACUCUGGUCGCUGGAUUUGAGCUAUCUGGUUAUUAGGUUCCACUGUGACUGGUGCUUUCACUCUCCAUUCCUGUGUCACCUUGUUUUUCUGUGUUGGUUGAGCAGAUUUAGCCAAACAGUUGUGUCCAACCUCCAAACAUUUCUCACAAUACACAGGUUUCCAAUCAUACAUCACAUCCUGCAUGAAGCUCUUUCCAUUUGGGUCCAGAAUCUCUAUCUCACUAUGUAGCUUUUUCGACACAUUUACCUCAAUGAGCAUACGAGCAUAUGAAAUUCUGGAUUGCUUAGUAUUCACUAGGUAGCUUUUUCGACAC